RNAcentral lists this ribosomal RNA (690 nucleotides) under Weissella hellenica. RNAcentral describes it as "bacterial SSU rRNA". It matches the Rfam family "Bacterial small subunit ribosomal RNA", at positions 82 to 759 of the family's 1533-position model. Lineage: Bacteria; Bacillati; Bacillota; Bacilli; Lactobacillales; Lactobacillaceae. The record is from RNAcentral.
UUGAUUUCAAAGAGUGGCGAACGGGUGAGUAACACGUGGGUAACCUACCUCUUAGCAGGGGAUAACAUUUGGAAACAAGUGCUAAUACCGUAUAAUACCAACAACCGCAUGGUUGUUGGUUGAAAGAUGGUUCUGCUAUCACUAAGAGAUGGACCCGCGGUGCAUUAGCUAGUUGGUAAGGUAAUGGCUUACCAAGGCAAUGAUGCAUAGCCGAGUUGAGAGACUGAUCGGCCACAAUGGGACUGAGACACGGCCCAUACUCCUACGGGAGGCAGCAGUAGGGAAUCUUCCACAAUGGGCGCAAGCCUGAUGGAGCAACGCCGCGUGUGUGAUGAAGGGUUUCGGCUCGUAAAACACUGUUAUAAGAGAAGAACGGCACUGAGAGUAACUGUUCAGUGUGUGACGGUAUCUUACCAGAAAGGAACGGCUAAAUACGUGCCAGCAGCCGCGGUAAUACGUAUGUUCCAAGCGUUAUCCGGAUUUAUUGGGCGUAAAGCGAGCGCAGACGGUUAUUUAAGUCUGAAGUGAAAGCCCUCAGCUCAACUGAGGAAUUGCUUUGGAAACUGGAUGACUUGAGUGCAGUAGAGGAAAGUGGAACUCCAUGUGUAGCGGUGAAAUGCGUAGAUAUAUGGAAGAACACCAGUGGCGAAGGCGGCUUUCUGGACUGUAACUGACGUUGAGGCUCGAAAG